This 288-nucleotide ribosomal RNA is filed under the name Triticum aestivum (bread wheat). RNAcentral's name for it is "partial small subunit ribosomal RNA". Lineage: Eukaryota; Viridiplantae; Streptophyta; Magnoliopsida; Poales; Poaceae. The record is from RNAcentral.
AUGGACAUCGGUUUGUACAAGCGUGCCAGAGCAACGAGGCACAAGGCGGCGAUGCCAUUCUACCCCCGGUCGCCAGCGGCGGCGGCCCCUGCCGCACCGGUCCAGGCAGGCAACGCCAUGGCCGCUGACGCCCCGCCGCCGGGGGUGAUCACUGUGCAGGUGAUGGCGCCUGGCAACAGCAAGCACUGCAACGGACCAGGAGGCGACGCUGACGUUGACCGCCGUGCCGCCUUGUACAUAUCGAUGGUGCAGGAGCGGCUCAAGCGCGAGGGCAUGCACAAGCGCUGA